UACGUAGGUGGCGAGCGUUGUCCGGAUUUAUUGGGUUUAAAGGGUGCGUAGGCGGUCUUAUAAGUCAGUGCUGAAAUAUCCCGGCUUAACCGGGAGGGUGGCAUUGAUACUGUAGGACUUGAGUAAAGUUGAGGUAGGCGGAAUUGACGGUGUAGCGGUGAAAUGCUUAGAUAUCGUCAAGAACACCAAUAGUGAAGACAGCUUACUAAGCUUUAACUGACGCUGAUGCACGAAAGUGUGGGGAUCAAACAGG
Molecule: ribosomal RNA, 253 nt
Filed under: uncultured bacterium
Lineage: Bacteria
Description: partial 16S ribosomal RNA
Rfam family: Bacterial small subunit ribosomal RNA
Source: RNAcentral